GGGCGUGUGUUUUAGGGGUAUAACGUUCGCUUCGCAUUUUCUACCAAAUUCGCUGUGAAAGGUCUUGGGUUCAAUUCCCAACUCGUCCA
Lasiosphaeria hispida is the source of this 89-nucleotide non-coding RNA. Lineage: Eukaryota; Fungi; Ascomycota; Sordariomycetes; Sordariales; Lasiosphaeriaceae. The record is from the annotation of a GenBank genome assembly.